GAUGAACGCUGGCGGCGUGCCUAACACAUGCAAGUCGAACGACCAGACGAUGAGCUUGUUCCCCUGACGUUAGCGGCGGACGGGUGAGUAACACGUAGAUAACCUACCUAUAAGUCUGGGAUGACUUCGGGAAACCGGAGCUAAUACCGGAUAAUAUAUUCUACCGCUUGGUUCAAUAGUUAUAGACGGCUUUGCCGUCACUUAUAGCUGAAUCCGCGCCGCAUUAGCUGGUUGGUAAGGUAACGGCUUACCAAGGCGACGAUGCGUAGCCGACCUGAGAGGGUGAUCAGCCACACUGGAACUGAGACACGGUCCAGACUCCUACGGGAGGCAGCAGUAGGGAAUCUUCCGCAAUGGGCGAAAGCCUGACGGAGCAACGCCGCGUGAGUGAUGAAGGUCUUCGGAUCGUAAAACUCUGUUGUUAGGAAAGAACAGAUGUGUGAGUAACUAUGCACGUUUUGACGGUACCUAAUCAAAAAGCCACGGCUAACUACGUG
This 497-nucleotide ribosomal RNA is filed under the name uncultured bacterium. Its description in RNAcentral is "partial 16S ribosomal RNA". It matches the Rfam family "Bacterial small subunit ribosomal RNA", at positions 28 to 507 of the family's 1533-position model. The record is from RNAcentral.